AGUGAACGCUGGCGGUAGGCCUAACACAUGCAAGUCGAACGGCAGCACAGUAAGAGCUUGCUCUUACGGGUGGCGAGUGGCGGACGGGUGAGGAAUACAUCGGAAUCUACUUUUUCGUGGGGGAUAACGUAGGGAAACUUACGCUAAUACCGCAUACGACCUACGGGUGAAAGCAGGGGAUCUUCGGACCUUGCGCGAUUGAAUGAGCCGAUGUCGGAUUAGCUAGUUGGCGGGGUAAAGGCCCACCAAGGCGACGAUCCGUAGCUGGUCUGAGAGGAUGAUCAGCCACACUGGAACUGAGACACGGUCCAGACUCCUACGGGAGGCAGCAGUGGGGAAUAGUGGACAAUGGGCGCAGGCCUGAUCCAGCCAUACCGCGUGGGUGAAGAAGGCCUUCGGGUUGUAAAGCCCUUUUGUUGGGAAAGAAAAGCAGCAGGUUAAGACCCCGCUGUUCUGACGGUACCCAAAGAAUAAGCACCGGCUAACUUCGUG
This 492-nucleotide ribosomal RNA is filed under the name uncultured bacterium. RNAcentral describes it as "partial 16S ribosomal RNA". It matches the Rfam family "Bacterial small subunit ribosomal RNA", at positions 29 to 507 of the family's 1533-position model. The record is from RNAcentral.